This 1717-nucleotide ribosomal RNA is filed under the name Marginopora vertebralis. RNAcentral's name for it is "SSU rRNA". It matches the Rfam family "Eukaryotic small subunit ribosomal RNA", at positions 62 to 1445 of the family's 1831-position model. The record is from RNAcentral. Lineage: Eukaryota; Foraminifera; Miliolida; Soritidae.
UUAAUUAGUGUUAUAAUAUAUAUAAUAUAUAUACUAAUGCAACUGCGAAUAGCUGUUUAAUACAGUCGUAAUUGUAUUGACUUAGUAUAUAAUGUUAAUAAUACAGUUAUUUAUAGGAUAACUAAGGGAAAGUUUGGCUAAUACGUUUUUAAAGUAUUAUAAUUCUUAAUACACAUAUAAUAAUAUUAUAAUAUGAUAAAUAUUAUAUAAAUAUUUUAAUACAUUUAUUUGUAUUAAUAUAUAGAGUUGACUUUAUAAUAUUUAUUUAUUAUAAAGCAUGUCAAACAAGCAUCUAUAGCAUCAAGUCACAAUGUUGGCAUGUGUAUUAUUGAACCUUCAAAGCAUUUACGCAUUCGGAGGAGUAGUUUCUGAUCCCGUCGAAGGUGCCUGAGAGACGGCACUUAGUUCUAAGGAACGCAGCAGGCGCGUAAAUUGCCCAAUGACAAAACAUGUUAUAAAAUACAUAAUGUAUAUAUAUAUACUCAAUAUUUAAUUGAGGCAGUGACAAGCUGUAAAGAUUGAAUAUAUUAAUUAAGAUAACAUUUGGAAUUGUCGUUUUAUAAUAUUUUUUAAUAUUAUAUUACUUGAUAAUAUACCAAUGUUAUAAAAUAUUCAAUUUGAAUGCGGUGAAUGUAAUAAUUUCAAGUAACAUGUAUAAAAUAUUUAUAUUUUAUUAGUUAUCUGAAUUUUCAAGUGGAGGGCAAGUCUGGUGCCAGCAGCCGCGGUAAUACCAGCUCCACUAGCUUAUACAAUCAUUGUUGCGGUUAAGAGGCUCGUAGUUGGAUUGAAUAACAACAUAUAUACACAAUACUGUGAACAAACCAGAGUGUAUAAAACAUGUAAUAUAUUAUAUAUUUAGCAAUGAAUGUUUUAUCAUGGAAUAUUGCUAUAAUGAAUAUUAAAUAUCGAUGGAGAUAGUUGGAGUUAAGAGUACUGAUAGGCGAGCGGUGAAAUGCAUUGACCCUAUUAAGACUAACAAAAGCGAAAGCACUUAACUAGAUUAUUCUCUUUGUAUUAUUUUACAAUGAAGAGCGAAGGUUGGGGGAACAAAGAGGAUCAGAUACCCUCGUAGUCCUAUUUUUACAUCAAACUAUGGGAUUUCAUUCACACUAAACACUAAACAUUAUAAUUAUAAUUAUGAUUGAGUAUAUGUCAAAAUAUUACUCUCAUAUUAAAUAAUUAUUAUAAUAUAUGAUUAUAUGUACUUUGAGCUCAUAUAAUUAUAUAGGUGAGAUGUAAGCAUUAUAAAGUGAAUAAUAUACAAGUAAUAUUGUAUUAUUAUGAUCUUUAAAAUAAAAAAUGUAAUGUGAUGCACGUUUUAGGUACGAGCUUACUAUAGAAAUAUUUAAAAUAAUACCCUCCUGGGGUAGUAUGCACGCANNNNNNNNACUUGAAGGAAUUGACGGAAGGGCACCACAAGAACGCGUGGAGCAUGUGGCUUAAUUUGACUCAACCCGGGAAAUCUUACCAGGUCCAGACAUAUUGAGGAUUGACAGGCGAUAGUAUAUAAUUCAUUUAUAUGCAUAAAAAUGAUAGUCCUUUCAUGAUUAUAUGAUAGGUGGUGCAUGGCCGUUCUUAGUUCGUGGAGUGAUUUGUCUGCUUAAUUGCGUUUCAGUAAAUAAAAUAUAUAAUAUAUUAUAAUAUUUAGUUCUGCCUGGAUAUUAUUCAGGAUUUAAAGUGAACAUAUUAUAUAUAUUAUUAUAUAAUAAAUGAAUGC